RNAcentral lists this unclassified non-coding RNA (247 nucleotides) under Hevea brasiliensis (rubber tree). Lineage: Eukaryota; Viridiplantae; Streptophyta; Magnoliopsida; Malpighiales; Euphorbiaceae. The record is from RNAcentral.
AAGUUUCCUCUGGUACUACUUGUAGGGACCUAGAAAUUGAAUUUUCCUUCAUAAUCUAAAAUUAAAACAUGUGGCCAUAUGUUGUCUGUAACUGGGGCAGAUCUACAUGAUUUCUAGUUGAAAUUUUCUCUAGAUUGCUGGCAAAUUUGCUUGUAACCUGCCUUUUCAUGAAUUUAUGGGCCCAAUGUUUCAGAUGCUGUAAAUAAUAAAUGUAACCUUCACUUUCAGUUAUCAUGGCAUUUUCAUU